Molecule: non-coding RNA, 95 nt
Organism: Acanthosepion pharaonis
Lineage: Eukaryota; Metazoa; Mollusca; Cephalopoda; Sepiida; Sepiidae
Source: the annotation of a GenBank genome assembly
AACGUUGAAGCACUGGUUUCCGUACGAUCACCAAAGUUAAGAAACGUCGAGCCUGGUUAGUAUCUAGAUGGGGACUUCUUGGAAUACCAGGUGCU